This 252-nucleotide ribosomal RNA is filed under the name uncultured bacterium. RNAcentral describes it as "partial 16S ribosomal RNA". It matches the Rfam family "Bacterial small subunit ribosomal RNA", at positions 524 to 775 of the family's 1533-position model. The record is from RNAcentral.
UACGGAGGGAGCUAGCGUUGUUCGGAAUUACUGGGCGUAAAGCGCGCGUAGGCGGCUUUGUAAGUUAGAGGUGAAAGCCCGGAGCUCAACUCCGGAACUGCCUUUAAAACUGCAUCGCUUGAUCCAGGAGAGGUGAGUGGAAGUUCCGAGUGUAGAGGUGAAAAUUCGUAGAUAUUCGGAGAACACCAGUGGCGAAGCGGCUCACUGGACUGGUAUUGACGCUGAGGUGCGCAAAGCGUGGGGAGCAACAGG